UACGAGGGGGGCGAGCGUUGUUCGGAAUUAUUGGGCGUAAAGGGUGCGUAGGCGGUUUGGUAAGUCUGAUGUGAAAUCUAUGGGCUCAACUCAUAGUCUGCAUUAGAAACUGCCGGGCUUGAGGAUGGGAGAGGUGAGUGGAAUUCCUGGUGUAGCGGUGAAAUGCGUAGAUAUCAGGAGGAACACCUGUGGCGAAAGCGGCUCACUGGACCAUUUCUGACGCUGAUGCACGAAAGCUAGGGGAGCAAACAGG
Molecule: ribosomal RNA, 253 nt
Filed under: uncultured bacterium
Lineage: Bacteria
Description: partial 16S ribosomal RNA
Rfam family: Bacterial small subunit ribosomal RNA
Source: RNAcentral